RNAcentral lists this long non-coding RNA (367 nucleotides) under Elaeis guineensis (African oil palm). RNAcentral describes it as "long non-coding RNA (EGUI_LNC043303)". Lineage: Eukaryota; Viridiplantae; Streptophyta; Magnoliopsida; Arecales; Arecaceae. The record is from RNAcentral.
GCCCACGACUUCAUCUGCAGACUCCAUCCGGACUCCUACGGGAGCCGGACCUCACCCACGACUUCAUCUGCAGGCUCCGCCCGGGCUCCUACGGGAGCCGGACCUCACCCACGACUUCACCUGCAGGCUCCGCCCGGACUCCUACGGGAGCCGGACUCCGCCGAUGACUCCUGCUGCAGGUAAACUUCGUCCGGACUCCUACGGGAGUCGGGCUUCGUCCCUGAUUCUAAUUGCAGGUAAACUUCGUCCGAACUCCUACAGGAGCCGGACCUCGCCUACGACUUCACUUGCAGACUCCGUCUGGACUCCUACGGGAGUCGGACUUCGCCCUGACUUCGCUUACGGGAGUCGAACUCCUGUAGCCCCA